UUUUUUUUUUUUUUUGUAACUUGGCUUUCAUUCAUAACAUAAAGAGAAAAAGAAAAAUAUUACAAGCCCAAGGCUAGUGUUUAGAAGAGAGUUUGAUAUUGAUUUCCAAAAAAGGCCUGAACCUUAGAAUCUCAAAGUGAACUAUCAUGCGACCCAUUUGAGCCCAAAAGUAGGUGGGGAGUUAGCGGUUGGGAGGCGAAGCGGUUUAAUGCACUUGCGGAGAGAUCAAAGUUUUGAUAAAGGUUAUGAGAUGAAAGUUAUGGGGUCUCGAACCAUCUUUGCAACAUCCUUGACGCGAGGGAAGGGCUUGUCUCACGGAAGCUUUGAAUCUUGUUACGAACCUGACGGUCGAUGAGGGUGAGAAUGACGUCAACCGAACGGAAAACGCCUGAGUGAAGACGUGCGUUCCGUUCGUUCCAGAGCCAGUAGAGGGCGGCUUGCCAAACCAGAAGAGUGAGGAGACGAGUAGAUUUGGGUGACUGGAGGUUUUCCAGUUGAGCGAUCGUUUGAUUCCAGGAGCGGUAAGGCCUGAUCCGACAUCUUCUUGCUAGUUGACUCCAAAGAUCGAAACUGAAUCUCCACCGGUGUGAAGAAGCUAGAAGGGUUUCACUAGGGGAGUUGAGUAACUACGUUCUGGAGUCACCCCCCCCAGUCUAUUGAGUUCCUAUGCAAAGUCAAGAUUUGUUCAGUUGAUUCUACCAAUGGAUGGUGUUACAUACCAUGUGCCAAGUGUUACAAGAAGCUCCAACGAAGAAUUUCAUCUUUCACUUGCAGUUCAUGUUUUAAUGCAACUGCUGUUAGAGUUGUCAGGUUCUCUAUACGCAUGCCCCUUAAUAUAUCCUUAUUAGCAUAGAGCUUUCUAUUAUUUGUACUUACCAAGUACUUCGGAUGGGAAUAUACAAGCUUUUUAGGAUA
Molecule: long non-coding RNA, 915 nt
Organism: Brassica napus (rape)
Lineage: Eukaryota; Viridiplantae; Streptophyta; Magnoliopsida; Brassicales; Brassicaceae
Exons: 3
Source: RefSeq, a predicted model, not a curated record